Molecule: ribosomal RNA, 450 nt
Filed under: uncultured bacterium
Lineage: Bacteria
Description: partial 16S ribosomal RNA
Rfam family: Bacterial small subunit ribosomal RNA
Source: RNAcentral
GUGGGGAAUUUUGGACAAUGGGCGAAAGCCUGAUCCAGCAAUGCCGCGUGCAGGAUGAAGGCCCUCGGGUUGUAAACUGCUUUUGUACGGAACGAAAAGCCUGGGGCUAAUAUCCCCGGGUCAUGACGGUACCGUAAGAAUAAGCACCGGCUAACUACGUGCCAGCAGCCGCGGUAAUACGUAGGGUGCAAGCGAUAAUCGGAAUUACUGGGCGUAAAGCGGGCGCAGGCGGUUGUGUAAGACAGUGGUGAAAUCCCCGGGCUCAACCUGGGAACUGUCAUUGUGACUGCAAGGCUAGAGUGCGGCAGAGGGGGAUGGAAUUCCGCGUGUAGCAGUGAAAUGCGUAGAUAUGCGGAGGAACACCGAUGGGGAAGGCAAUCCCCUGGGCCUGCACUGACGCUCAUGCACGAAAGCGUGGGGAGCAAACAGGAUUAGAAACCCGAGUAGUCC